Molecule: long non-coding RNA, 423 nt
Organism: Choloepus didactylus (southern two-toed sloth)
Lineage: Eukaryota; Metazoa; Chordata; Mammalia; Pilosa; Megalonychidae
Exons: 3
Source: RefSeq, a predicted model, not a curated record
AAAAAAAGGAAGAUUUCUUCAGUAUCUGAAAACUGUUACUCUCGUGAGGAGAGAGGGUUCCUGGUUCUUCUUUAUUUUCUGUGUUCCACAUGGAGCUGGAUCCCACCUGAGGGUAUCAAGUGAUAGUGGAAAACUUCUGACCUCACACCUGCCUCCUGCCUCCCUGGGACCCACUGAAGGAUUUCUGGGCCUUACUCCUUAUGUGUCUAUUCUGAAGAAGACAGGCCCCAAGGCACAGUGUCCCAGACAACAGAAACACAGACAUCAGCAGACUCUGAAGAAAGAGGCACCCAAGGAGAGCACACCUGAAGUCAUGAAAUAGUACACUGACAUCAUGGAGGGGACGGUAGGGACAUUGCACUCAGCCUUUGAGGAGGCAGAUGGAAAAUGGAAAGAGGAAGACUGUGAAUAGCAGCAGGAAGA